AAACAUCUCUUUUUGAUUAAAAUUUAAAGUUGUCUCUGCUCUAUGAUUAAUUAAAUGGCUGCAGUAUAUUAACUGUACAAAGGUAGCAUAAUAAAUUGUUUUUUAAAUGAAAACUUGAAUGAAUGAGUUAAUGAAAUAUAAAUUUUAUUAAAAUAAAAUUUUGAAUUUGAUUUUAAAGUAAAAAAGCUUUAAUAUAUUUAAGGGACGAGAAGACCCUAUAGAAUUUUAUAUAAAAUAUUUAAAUUAUAAGUAUUUUAUAUUUAUUUGGGAGGAAUAAACAAUUAUAAAACUUGUAUUUAUUAUUUACAUUUAAUUUAUGGAUUAGAUUGAUUAUAUAAAUAUAUAAGAUUAAAUUACCUUAGGGAUAACAGCGUAAUAUUUUUUUAUAGUUCAUAUUGAAAAAAGUGUUU
This 410-nucleotide ribosomal RNA is filed under the name Bakeriella sp. RNAcentral's name for it is "partial large subunit ribosomal RNA". The record is from RNAcentral. Lineage: Eukaryota; Metazoa; Arthropoda; Insecta; Hymenoptera; Bethylidae.